RNAcentral lists this small RNA (31 nucleotides) under Bombyx mori (domestic silkworm). RNAcentral describes it as "ovarian small RNA-35914". Lineage: Eukaryota; Metazoa; Arthropoda; Insecta; Lepidoptera; Bombycidae. The record is from RNAcentral.
UGUGCUUCCACUCGGCUCGGGAGGGGCCGCA